GAUCCUCUGCGGUGUUCGAGGUGCUUUCCAAUAACCGCUCUUUGCCUUUGAUACAUUACGGGAGUCGAAACCGUCGCGGAAGCUGUCAGGCCGUAAACCGGAAGACAAACGCUGCGGGGGAGGCGCCCACCUUAACAUAAAAAGGACCAGAGCCUUUGGGCGCACGGCACAGGCGGAGGAUCA
Opitutaceae bacterium is the source of this 183-nucleotide non-coding RNA. It matches the Rfam family "6S / SsrS RNA". From Rfam's summary of the family: E. coli 6S RNA was the first non coding RNA to be sequenced, but its function was unknown until recently. It consists of 184 nucleotides that fold into an extended hairpin structure with a large single-stranded internal bulge. The 6S RNA specifically associates with RNA polymerase holoenzyme containing the sigma70 specificity factor. NCBI's taxonomy places the organism in Bacteria, Pseudomonadati, Verrucomicrobiota, Opitutia, Opitutales, Opitutaceae. The record is from Rfam.